RNAcentral lists this non-coding RNA (22 nucleotides) under Arabidopsis thaliana (thale cress). The record is from RNAcentral. Lineage: Eukaryota; Viridiplantae; Streptophyta; Magnoliopsida; Brassicales; Brassicaceae.
GAGAUGCAACACGAGGACUUCC